Molecule: unclassified non-coding RNA, 734 nt
Filed under: uncultured Sphaeronaemella
Lineage: Eukaryota; Fungi; Ascomycota; Sordariomycetes; Microascales
Description: sequence contains ITS1, 5.8S rRNA gene, ITS2
Rfam family: Eukaryotic small subunit ribosomal RNA (bases 1-321)
Source: RNAcentral
GUUACACUGACUGGGGCAACGAGCACCUUGGCCGAGAGGCCCGGGGAAUCUUGAAGCCCAGUCGUGCUGGGGAUAGAGCAUUGCAAUUAUUGCUCUUCAACGAGGAAUCCCUAGUAGUCGCAUGUCAUCAGCAUGCGACGAUUACGUCCCUGCCCUUUGUACACACCGCCCGUCGCUACUACCGAUUGGAUGGCUCAGUGAGGCUUCUGGAUUGGCGCCGUGGGCAACUGCGGCUGCCGAGAAACUAUCCAAACUCGGUCAUCUAGAGGAAGUAAAAGUCGUAACAAGGUCUCCGUUGGUGAACCAGCGGAGGGAUCAUUAGAGAAACCGGGCGCCUUGGCGCCGGGGCUAUGGCUCAGUUAUAUUAUUAUUUUUCUUGUAUAAAACUUUCAGCAACGGAUCUCUUGGCUCAGGCAUCGAUGAAGAACGCAGCAAACUGCGAUAAGUAGUGUGACUUGCCGUCGUGAAUCAUUGAAUUUUUGAACGCACAUUGCGCCCGGGAGCAUUCUCCCGGGCAUGCAAGGUCGAGCGGCAAUCGUUUUGUUGGGGGAUGCGGUUGCACCCCUGAAAUACAUCUCAGUACGAAGUAAAACACGUACAAGACCCGAUCCGCCCUCGGCUUUGUAGGACUACCCGCUGAACUUAAGCAUAUCAAUAAGCGGAGGAAAAGAAACCAACAGGGAUUGCUCUAGUAACGGCGAGUGAAGCACAACAGCUCAGAUUUGAAAGGCCUC